AUGUUGACAACAGAAACAGCAUGGGUUUGGGAUGUCUCAAACCCCCAGCACUCUAUCGACCAGCUUUUAUAUAGGAACAUCGUUGUAAUAAGCAAUGUAACCAUACGUAAUGCACCAUGUAACACCAUACGUAAUGCACCAUGUAACACCAUACGUAAUGCACCAUGUAACACCAUACGUAAUGCACCAUGUAACACCAUACGUAAUGCACCAUGUAACACCAUAUGUAAUGCACCAUGUAACACCAUAUGUAAUGCACCAUGUAACACCAUAUGUAAUGCACCAUGUAACACCAUAUGUAAUGCACCAUGUAACACCAUAUGUAAUGCACCAUGUAACACCAUAUGUAAUGCACCAUGUAACACCAUAUGUAAUGCACCAUGUAACACCAUAUGUAAUGCACCAUGUAACACCAUACGUAAUGCACCAUGUAACACCAUACGUAAUGCACCAUGUAACACCAUACGUAAUGCACCAUGUAACACCAUACGUAAUGCACCAUGUAACACCAUAUGUAAUGCACCAUGUAACACCAUAUGUAAUGCACCAUGUAACACCAUAUGUAAUGCACCAUGUAACACCAUACGUAAUGCACCAUGUAACACCAUACGUAAUGCACCAUGUAACACCAUACGUAAUGCACCAUGUAACACCAUAUGUAAUACACCAUGUAACACCAUAUGUAAUGCACCAUGUAACACCAUAUGUAAUGCACCAUGUAACACCAUACGUAAUACACCAUGUAACACCAUAUGUAAUGCACCAUGUAACACCAUAUGUAAUGCACCAUGUAACACCAUACGUAAUGCACCAUGUAACACCAUACGUAAUGCACCAUGUAACACCAUACGUAAUGCACCAUGUAACACCAUAUGUAAUGCACCAUGUAACACCAUAUGUAAUACACCAUGUAACACCAUAUGUAAUGCACCAUGUAACACCAUAUGUAAUGCACCAUGUAACACCAUACGUAAUGCACCAUGUAACACCAUACGUAAUGCACCAUGUAACACCAUACGUAAUACACCAUGUAACACCAUAUGUAAUGCACCAUGUAACACCAUAUGUAAUACACCAUGUAACACCAUAUGUAAUGCACCAUGUAACACCAUAUGUAAUGCACCAUGUAACACCAUAUGUAAUGCACCAUGUAACACCAUACGUAAUACACCAUGUAACACCAUAUGUAAUGCACCAUGUAACACCAUAUGUAAUGCACCAUGUAACACCAUAUGUAAUGCACCAUGUAACACCAUAUGUAAUGCACCAUGUAACACCAUAUGUAAUGCACCAUGUAACACCAUACGUAAUGCACCAUGUAACACCAUACGUAAUGCACCAUGUAUGCACUCUUAA
RNAcentral lists this long non-coding RNA (1356 nucleotides) under Oncorhynchus mykiss (rainbow trout). Its description in RNAcentral is "lncRNA (ENSOMYG00000055743.1)". The record is from RNAcentral. Lineage: Eukaryota; Metazoa; Chordata; Actinopteri; Salmoniformes; Salmonidae.